GUAAAUGAUGUUGAAUCAGGUCUCUGAUCCCAGUGAGGAUAAAACUUGACUAAACGCUGAUA
This 62-nucleotide unclassified non-coding RNA is filed under the name Gallus gallus (chicken). The record is from RNAcentral. Lineage: Eukaryota; Metazoa; Chordata; Aves; Galliformes; Phasianidae.